RNAcentral lists this transfer RNA (72 nucleotides) under Toxocara canis (dog roundworm). It matches the Rfam family "tRNA". Rfam says of the family: Transfer RNA (tRNA) molecules are approximately 80 nucleotides in length. Their secondary structure includes four short double-helical elements and three loops (D, anti-codon, and T loops). Further hydrogen bonds mediate the characteristic L-shaped molecular structure. tRNAs have two regions of fundamental functional importance: the anti-codon, which is responsible for specific mRNA codon recognition, and the 3' end, to which the tRNAs corresponding amino acid is attached (by aminoacyl-tRNA synthetases). tRNAs cope with the degeneracy of the genetic code in two manners: having more than one tRNA (with a specific anti-codon) for a particular amino acid; and 'wobble' base-pairing, i.e. permitting non-standard base-pairing at the 3rd anti-codon position. The record is from Rfam by way of RNAcentral. Lineage: Eukaryota; Metazoa; Nematoda; Chromadorea; Rhabditida; Toxocaridae.
GCACGGUUAGCUCAGUCGGCAGAGCACCAGACUCUUAAUCUGGCUGUCGAGGGUUCGAGCCCGCAUCAGGCU